UGGGGAAUAUUGGACAAUGGGGGCAACCCUGAUCCAGCAAUGCCGCGUGUGUGAAGAAGGUCUUCGGAUUGUAAAGCACUUUCGACGGGGACGAUGAUGACGGUACCCGUAGAAGAAGCCCCGGCUAACUUCGUGCCAGCAGCCGCGGUAAUACGAAGGGGGCUAGCGUUGCUCGGAAUGACUGGGCGUAAAGGGCGUGUAGGCGGUUUACACAGUCAGAUGUGAAAUCCCCGGGCUUAACCUGGGAGCUGCAUUUGAUACGUGUAGACUAGAGUGUGAGAGAGGGUUGUGGAAUUCCCAGUGUAGAGGUGAAAUUCGUAGAUAUUGGGAAGAACACCGGUGGCGAAGGCGGCAACCUGGCUCAUGACUGACGCUGAGGCGCGAAAGCGUGGGGAGCAACAGGAUUAGAUACCCUGGUAGUCCACGCCUGUAAA
Molecule: ribosomal RNA, 434 nt
Filed under: uncultured bacterium
Lineage: Bacteria
Description: partial 16S ribosomal RNA
Rfam family: Bacterial small subunit ribosomal RNA
Source: RNAcentral